RNAcentral lists this ribosomal RNA (277 nucleotides) under Leyella stercorea DSM 18206. Its description in RNAcentral is "Prevotella stercorea DSM 18206 partial 16S ribosomal RNA". It matches the Rfam family "Bacterial small subunit ribosomal RNA", at positions 502 to 776 of the family's 1533-position model. The record is from RNAcentral. Lineage: Bacteria; Pseudomonadati; Bacteroidota; Bacteroidia; Bacteroidales; Prevotellaceae.
UAUGGUUGCCAGCCGCCGCGGUAAUACGGAAGGUCCGGGCGUUAUCCGGAUUUAUUGGGUUUAAAGGGAGCGUAGGCCGUCUGGUAAGCGUGUUGUGAAAUGUCGGGGCUCAACCUGGGCAUUGCAGCGCGAACUGUCAGACUUGAGUGCGCGGGAAGUAGGCGGAAUUCGUCGUGUAGCGGUGAAAUGCUUAGAUAUGACGAAGAACUCCGAUUGCGAAGGCAGCCUGCUGUAGCGCAACUGACGCUGAAGCUCGAAAGCGUGGGUAUCGAACAGG